CCCUGUUAAAAGAACAGCAAACCCUGAUUAAAGCCCUAACCCCCUUUCCUUCCUUCUCUUGCUAACCGAACCCACAAAAGCCUCCAACUAUGAUUACACCUCUUGAUCACCAUUUGCAAUGAUGAAUCAUUGAUAGGUGUUGGUAGAAGUAAAGACCAGCAAAGCCGUCACCGCAUCCUACUUCUUAUUCUUCUAAUUAUAUAAACACCACUCCUCAUUCCUUUGAUUCCAUGAACAGCAGAAGAGAGAACGGGGAGAAGGAGAACGACCGAAGCACCAGGGAGCAAGAACAAGAACGUUCUUCAAGUUCUUCUAGCCCUUCAUCAACCACAGCACCAAGAGAAGGAGGGUGAUGGCCAAGGAGCGAGCUGACCGAAGCUGAAGAGUGUGCUACAUCUUUGCUAGUUUAUUCAAAUUUUGUUAGCAUAGCUACCACCACAAACAAAGAGGGGUGAGUGAUCUUCCCUUACUUAUGUUUGAUUUGGCCGAAUGGCUUUGAGGAUGUGAUCAAAAUUCUAGUUCUUGAAUUGGUUAGGGUUCGGGUUCAGGGGAGAAGCAGGAAUAAAUUAUUUGUUUUUGAUCAACAAAAAAAAGUAAGGGUUAGGAUAGUUAGAUAUUGAUUGUGGCUGUGCUUGGUGAAUUGUUUGCUAAAUGAUGAAAUUGAUGUAUGAUUGUUAGUGAUGAUAUGCUAAAAAUUCUGAUUUUUGCUGA
Arachis duranensis is the source of this 711-nucleotide long non-coding RNA. RefSeq lists it as uncharacterized. The transcript is spliced from 2 exons. NCBI's taxonomy places the organism in Eukaryota, Viridiplantae, Streptophyta, Magnoliopsida, Fabales, Fabaceae. The record is from RefSeq and is a predicted model, not a curated record.